RNAcentral lists this ribosomal RNA (229 nucleotides) under uncultured bacterium. RNAcentral's name for it is "partial 16S ribosomal RNA". It matches the Rfam family "Bacterial small subunit ribosomal RNA", at positions 28 to 253 of the family's 1533-position model. The record is from RNAcentral.
GACGAACGCUGGCGGCGUGCUUAACACAUGCAAGUCGAGCGGUAAGGCCCUUCGGGUACGACGAGCGGCGAACGGGUGAGUAACACGUGGGUGACCUGCCUUUAGUCUCUGGGAGUAAAGCCUGGGAAACGUAGGGUCGUAAUACCGGAUAUGACCUCAUGACGCAUGUUGUGGGGUGGAAAGCCUUGUGCGGCUAGAGAUGGGCCCGGCGGCCUAUCAGCUUGUUGGU